RNAcentral lists this ribosomal RNA (256 nucleotides) under uncultured bacterium. RNAcentral's name for it is "partial 16S ribosomal RNA". It matches the Rfam family "Bacterial small subunit ribosomal RNA", at positions 793 to 1055 of the family's 1533-position model. The record is from RNAcentral.
GUCCACGCCGUAAACGAUGGAUACUAGCUGUUGGGCGCAAGUUCAGUGGCUAAGCGAAAGUGAUAAGUAUCCCACCUGGGGAGUACGUUCGCAAGAAUGAAACUCAAAGGAAUUGACGGGGGCCCCGCACAAGCGGUGGAGCAUGUGGUUUAAUUCGAUGAUACGCGAUGAACCUUACCAAGGCUUAAAUGUAGAUUGACCGUUUUGGAAACAGAACUUUCGCAAGACAAUUUACAAGGUGCUGCAUGGUUGUCGU